This is an RNA transcript of Pipistrellus kuhlii (Kuhl's pipistrelle), 1409 nucleotides long. It is a transcript of the gene named proteasome 26S subunit, non-ATPase 6, with no coding region annotated. NCBI's taxonomy places the organism in Eukaryota, Metazoa, Chordata, Mammalia, Chiroptera, Vespertilionidae. The transcript is spliced from 9 exons. The record is from RefSeq and is a predicted model, not a curated record.
GCCAGCUUCCGCUUCCGCCGCCGCCGCCUCCGUGUGUCUUCGCUGAGUCGGUCUGCUGAGCCGCCGCCGCGAUGCCGCUGGAGAACCUGGAGGAGGAGGGUCUGCCCAAGAACCCCGACCUGCGCAUCGCGCAGCUGCGCUUCCUGCUCAGCCUGCCGGGGCACCGCGGGGACGCGGCCGUGCGCGAGGAGCUGAUGGCGGCCGUCCGCGACAACAACAUGGCUCCUUACUACGAAGCGUUGUGCAAAUCCCUCGACUGGCAGGUGGACGUGGACCUGCUCAGUAAGAUGAAGAAGGCAAAUGAAGAAGAGCUGAAGCGUUUGGAUGAGGAGCUGGAAGAUGCAGAGAAGAAUCUCGGGGAGAGCGAAAUCCGCGAUGCAAUGAUGACGAAGGCGGAGUACCUGUGCCGGAUAGGCGACAAGGAGGGUGCUCUGACAGCUUUUCGCAAGACUUAUGACAAAACUGUGGCGCUAGGUCACCGACUGGAUAUUGUGUUCUAUCUCCUUAGGAUUGGCUUGUUUUAUAUGGAUAAUGAUCUUAUCACUCGAAACACAGAAAAGGCCAAAAGUUUAAUAGAGGAAGGAGGAGACUGGGACAGGAGAAACCGCCUGAAAGUAUAUCAAGGUCUUUACUGUGUGGCUAUUCGUGACUUCAAACAGGCAGCUGAACUCUUCCUUGACACUGUCUCCACAUUUACGUCCUAUGAGCUCAUGGAUUAUAAAACCUUCGUGACUUACACUGUCUAUGUCAGCAUGAUUGCCUUAGAAAGACCAGACCUCAGGGAAAAGGUUAUUAAAGGAGCAGAGAUUCUUGAAGUGCUGCACAGCCUUCCAGCAGUUCGGCAGUAUCUGUUUUCACUCUACGAAUGCCGCUACUCCGUUUUCUUCCAGUCGCUAGCUGUUGUGGAACAGGAAAUGAAAAAGGACUGGCUUUUUGCUCCUCACUAUCGGUACUAUGUGAGAGAAAUGAGAAUUCAUGCCUACAGCCAGCUGCUGGAAUCAUACAGGUCAUUAACCCUCGGCUACAUGGCAGAAGCCUUUGGUGUUGGCGUGGAAUUCAUUGAUCAGGGCUCUCAACACCAUUUGUUGAUUAAACCAACAUUUCCCCAUUGAUUUGCAAUGACACUUAUGCUAGAAAUUUGAUUCUGUUGGAGUUUAUGUGCUUGGAUCAAGUUGUUUUACUAUCUGGGAGAAUAAUCUGGGAACUCUCCAGAUUUAUCGCUGCUGGGAGACUACACUGCAAAAUAGAUAAAGUGAAUGAAAUAGUGGAAACCAACAGACCUGAUAGCAAGAACUGGCAGUACCAAGAAACUAUCAAGAAAGGAGAUCUGCUACUAAACAGAGUUCAGAAACUUUCCAGAGUAAUUAAUAUGUAAAACCAUGUGAACAAAGGAUUUCUUUUGGAGAUAA